Molecule: long non-coding RNA, 815 nt
Organism: Vespula vulgaris
Lineage: Eukaryota; Metazoa; Arthropoda; Insecta; Hymenoptera; Vespidae
Exons: 3
Source: RefSeq, a predicted model, not a curated record
CGAAAUCUCGUUUUUGACGCGGUUUAAGUUAUUGACAUUUUUCGUAUUACUUUUAAUAAUUAAUUCGUAAUUAAAAGUAUAUCACUAAGAUUAUAUUUGUGACAUAAAACUUGAAAAAUAAUUUGUUAAUGUUUUCAAUUUGUCUAGAGUUUUAAAAGGUGCGAAGAGAUUAGCAGUAAAACUGUGAUCCUCGUUUGGUAAUGCUAUCAUCAUAAAGUCGUCCCUUGGCCAAAUAUGAAGAUGAUUACCGCUCAUUGAAAACUUUUUAACAAGAGUAAUAAAUAUUAUUAUAUUCCAAUUAGGUGACAGUUCACAUGGAAUAAAUAAUUCGAUGUAUCCAUGUUCUAUGUAAAUCUGACUGCAAUUAAAAAGUGGUCUUUUCAUAAAGAUUUUACGUAUUGUGGAAUAAGCUCCAUCUGCUCCGAUUAUUAAAUCAAUAUUUACUUCUUCCGUCGUAUGAUUUUUCAUACUAUAACAUAUGUAUAUAUAUAAAAAACGAUUAUAGAACAAAUCAUAUCAAUUUGUUAUUCAAUAAAAAAAUGUAUAUAUAUAUAUUUAUAUAAUAUAACAAAUAUGUAACAUUGAUUAUAUAUACACGUACGUACUUCAAAAUUGUUAAUUUUCCUUGAUCGAUAUCAGCAUCAACGAUUUUUGAAUUAAAGUGAAGUUUUACUUCUGGACGCUUUUCUGCAGCUAGAGUUAAAAAACACAGAUUAUAUAUUAUACAUCAGUUUCUAAAAUGUUCCGUUUAUUUUUCAGGCCAAUGAUAUAUAUAUAUAUAUAUAUAUAUAUAUAUAUAUAUACAAACACAUACA